CAUGCCAAUGGCACUGCCCGGUAGCUAAAUGCGGAAGAGAUAAGUGCUGAAAGCAUCUAAGUACGAAACUUGCCCCGAGAUGAGUUCUCCCUGAGACUUUAGGUCUCCUGAAGGAACGUUGAAGACGACGACGUUGAUAGGCCGGGUGUGUAAGCGCAGCGAUGCGUUGAGCUAACCGGUACUAAUGAACCGUGAGGCUUA
This 201-nucleotide ribosomal RNA is filed under the name Salmonella enterica subsp. enterica serovar Weltevreden. Its description in RNAcentral is "partial 23S ribosomal RNA". It matches the Rfam family "Bacterial large subunit ribosomal RNA", at positions 2725 to 2925 of the family's 2925-position model. The record is from RNAcentral. Lineage: Bacteria; Pseudomonadati; Pseudomonadota; Gammaproteobacteria; Enterobacterales; Enterobacteriaceae.